Molecule: ribosomal RNA, 527 nt
Filed under: Umbelopsis sp. PP20
Lineage: Eukaryota; Fungi; Mucoromycota; Umbelopsidomycetes; Umbelopsidales; Umbelopsidaceae
Description: eukaryotic LSU rRNA
Rfam family: 5.8S ribosomal RNA (bases 154-307)
Source: RNAcentral
AUCGAAAGACUCCUUUUCCUUUGUGCUGCGCUUCUGACGUGCAAUCGAUCGUCAAUUUUGGGACUUCGUAGUYYUGUUACCGGUCAAACUAUUCGAUCUUCCUGAGAAACUUACUGAACAACUAAACAAUGAUUUUAAUAAUCUGUUUAAAACAACUUUCAACAACGGAUCUCUUGGUUCUCGCAUCGAUGAAGAACGCAGCGAAAUGCGAUACGUAAUGUGAAUUGCAGAAUUCAGUGAAUCAUCGAAUCUUUGAACGCACAUUGCACUCCUUGGUAUUCCGAGGAGUAUGCCUGUUUCAGUAUCAUGAGCACUCUCACACCUAACCUUUGGGUUUUGUUGUGGAAUUGGGAUGCGCCGAUUUUAAUAGUCGGCACUCCUAAAAUGUAGUUCUUGGCUGUUUCCUACUACAGCAGUUUGGCCUAAUAGUUUUGACUUUUGUCAAAUCUUUGGCUACAUUUGCUUCUGGAAAUCAGUUUUGAUAAUACAGAAAACUCAUUCAAACUUUGAUCUGAAAUCAGGUAGGC